CCUACGGGUGGCAGCAGUAGGGAAUAUUGCUCAAUGGGGGAAACCCUGAAGCAGCAACGCCGCGUGGAGGAUGAAGGUUUUCGGAUUGUAAACUCCUUUUGUUAGAGAAGAUAAUGACGGUAUCUAACGAAUAAGCACCGGCUAACUCCGUGCCAGCAGCCGCGGUAAUACGGCGGGUGCAAGCGUUACUCGGAAUCACUGGGCGUAAAGAGGGCGUAGGCGGGAUAGCAAGUCAGAUGUGAAAUCCUAUGGCUUAACCAUAGAACUGCAGUUGAAACUGUUAUUCUAGAGUAUGGGAGAGGUAGGUGGAAUGCUUGGUGUAGGGGUAAAAUCCGUAGAGAUCAAGAGGAAUACUCAUUGCGAAGGCGACCUGCUAGAACAUAACUGACGCUGAUGCGCGAAAGCGUGGGGAGCAAACAGGAUUAGAUACCCCAGUAGUC
This 440-nucleotide ribosomal RNA is filed under the name uncultured bacterium. RNAcentral describes it as "partial 16S ribosomal RNA". It matches the Rfam family "Bacterial small subunit ribosomal RNA", at positions 338 to 795 of the family's 1533-position model. The record is from RNAcentral.